This 499-nucleotide ribosomal RNA is filed under the name uncultured bacterium. RNAcentral describes it as "partial 16S ribosomal RNA". It matches the Rfam family "Bacterial small subunit ribosomal RNA", at positions 28 to 507 of the family's 1533-position model. The record is from RNAcentral.
GACGAACGCUGGCGGCGUGCCUAAUACAUGCAAGUCGAGCGAAGUUUUUCUGGUGCUUGCACUAGAAAAACUUAGCGGCGAACGGGUGAGUAACACGUAAAGAACCUGCCUCAUAGACUGGGACAACUAUUGGAAACGAUAGCUAAUACCGGAUAACAGUAUUUCUCGCAUGAGAGAUAUUUAAAAGUUGGUUAUGCUAACACUAUGAGAUGGCUUUGCGGUGCAUUAGCUAGUUGGUGGGGUAAAGGCCCACCAAGGCGACGAUGCAUAGCCGACCUGAGAGAGUGAUCGGCCACACUGGGACUGAGACACGGCCCAGACUCCUGCGGGAGGCAGCAGUAGGGAAUCUUACGCAAUGGGCGAAAGCCUGACGGAGCAACGCCGCGUGAGUGAAGAAGGAUUUCGGUUCGUAAAGCUCUGUUGUUAGGGAAGAAUGGAUAUGUAGUAACUAUACAUGUAAGAGACGGUACCUAACCAGAAAGCCACGGCUAACUACGUG